CAGCCUUUAUGGAAUCAGGAAUAGAUGCUCUGCCCUUAGGGGUAAUUACAUGUACAAGGUCAUCCACAGUAACAUUGCUCCUCCCUUUCUUCUUUAUAAAUGCCCUGCAAAGAGCUUUCAUUUCGUCUUUCCAUCCACAUUCUAUAAGCCUUUCCCUCAAAAGUUCCAUCAAUCGCUCCUUUUCUCCACUCUCAAUCAACUUAAUGUUGAUAAU
RNAcentral lists this unclassified non-coding RNA (214 nucleotides) under Hevea brasiliensis (rubber tree). Lineage: Eukaryota; Viridiplantae; Streptophyta; Magnoliopsida; Malpighiales; Euphorbiaceae. The record is from RNAcentral.